Molecule: ribosomal RNA, 538 nt
Filed under: uncultured fungus
Lineage: Eukaryota; Fungi
Description: eukaryotic LSU rRNA
Rfam family: 5.8S ribosomal RNA (bases 154-307)
Source: RNAcentral
GGCCCUCUCCGGUGGGCACGUGCACGCUUUCUCUUUCAUCCAACACACACCUGUGCACUCGUUGAAACAAAACCCCCCUCGGGGGUCGGUCUGCUCUACAUAAACUCACUUGUCUACAAAUUGAAUGUAAUUGAUGUAACACAUCUCUGAACUAAGUUUCAACAACGGAUCUCUUGGCUCUCGCAUCGAUGAAGAACGCAGCGAAAUGCGAUAAGUAAUGUGAAUUGCAGAAUUCAGUGAAUCAUCGAAUCUUUGAACGCACCUUGCGCUCCUUGGUAUUCCUUGGAGCAUGCCUGUUUGAGCAUCAUGAAAUCCUCAAGAUAAAAUCUUCCGUUCAUUCGAUUGGUUUUAUUUUGGACUUUGGAGGUCUUGCAGAUUCCCAUGUCUGCUCCUCUCAAAUGCAUUAGCUGGAUCUCCAUGAAGCCUUGGUUCCACUCGGCGUGAUAAAUAAUCACUCGCUGAGGACACUGUAAAAAGUGGCCAGGUUCCACAGAUGAACUGCUUCCAACCCGUCCUUUAGGUAGGACAGUGAACCUUU